GAUGAACGCUAGCGGCAGGCCUAACACAUGCAAGUCGAGGGGGAAGUUACUUUCGGGUAACAGAGACCGGCGUACGGGUGCGUAACGCGUAUACAAUCUGCCUUUCACUGGGGGAUAGCCCGAAGAAAUUUGGAUUAAUACCCCAUAGUAUAGUAAUACGGCAUCGUGAUACUAUUAAAGCUUAGGUGGUGAAAGAUGAGUAUGCGUUCUAUUAGUUAGUUGGAGAGGUAACGGCUCCCCAAGGCGAUGAUAGAUAGGGGUUCUGAGAGGGAUGUCCCCCACACUGGUACUGAGAUACGGACCAGACUCCUACGGGAGGCAGCAGUGAGGAAUAUUGGACAAUGGUCGGAAGACUGAUCCAGCCAUGCCGCGUGCAGGAUGAAGGUCUUAUGGAUUGUAAACUGCUUUUGUAAGGGAAGAAUAAGGGCUACGUGUAGUUUGAUGACGGUACCUUACGAAUAAGCAUCGGCUAACUCCGUGCCAGCAGCCGCGGUAAUACGGAGGAUGCGAGCGUUAUCCGGGAAUCAUUGGGUUUAAAGGGUCUGUAGGCGGGCUGGUAAGUCAGAGGUGAAAGCGCUCAGCUCAACUGAGCAACUGCCUUUGAAACUGUUGGUCUUGAAUGGUUGUGAAGUAGUUGGGAAUGUGUAGUGUAGCGGUGAAAUGCUUAGAUAUUACACAGGACACCGAUAGCGAAGGCAUAUUACUAACAAUUGAUUGACGCUGAUGGACGAAAGCGUGGGGAGCGAACAGG
RNAcentral lists this ribosomal RNA (751 nucleotides) under Capnocytophaga ochracea. RNAcentral describes it as "bacterial SSU rRNA". It matches the Rfam family "Bacterial small subunit ribosomal RNA", at positions 28 to 776 of the family's 1533-position model. Lineage: Bacteria; Pseudomonadati; Bacteroidota; Flavobacteriia; Flavobacteriales; Flavobacteriaceae. The record is from RNAcentral.